RNAcentral lists this ribosomal RNA (465 nucleotides) under Nitrosomonas sp. HKU8. RNAcentral describes it as "bacterial SSU rRNA". It matches the Rfam family "Bacterial small subunit ribosomal RNA", at positions 198 to 644 of the family's 1533-position model. Lineage: Bacteria; Pseudomonadati; Pseudomonadota; Betaproteobacteria; Nitrosomonadales; Nitrosomonadaceae. The record is from RNAcentral.
GGAGAAAAGCAGGGGAUCGCAAGACCUUGCGCUAAAGGAGCGGCCGAUGUCUGAUUAGCUAGUUGGUGGGGUAAAGGCUUACCAAGGCAACGAUCAGUAGUUGGUCUGAGAGGACGGCCAACCACACUGGGACUGAGACACGGCCCAGACUCCUACGGGAGGCAGCAGUGGGGAAUUUUGGACAAUGGGCGAAAGCCUGAUCCAGCCAUGCCGCGUGAGUGAAGAAGGCCUUCGGGUUGUAAAGCUCUUUUAGUCGGAAAGAAAGAGUUGCAAUGAAUAAUUGUGAUUUAUGACGGUACCGACAGAAAAAGCACCGGCUAGCUACGUGCCAGCAGCCGCGGUAAUACGUAGGGUGCGAGCGUUAAUCGGAAUUACUGGGCGUAAAGGGUGCGCAGGCGGUUUUGCAAGUCAGAUGUGAAAUCCCCGGGCUUAACCUGGGAACUGCGUUUGAAACUACAAAGCUAG